Molecule: ribosomal RNA, 474 nt
Filed under: Triticum aestivum (bread wheat)
Lineage: Eukaryota; Viridiplantae; Streptophyta; Magnoliopsida; Poales; Poaceae
Description: partial small subunit ribosomal RNA
Source: RNAcentral
AUGUUCAACAUCCCGGCAUCUCUCAAGAAAAUGAAUAUUUAUGGGUGCCAUAAGCUUGAGUCCAUUUUUGGCAAGCAGCAGGGCAUGUCAAAGUCAGUUCAUGGGUCUUCUUGCAGUGAGGCAAUCGUGCGCACAGCUGUAUCACCCACGAAUCACUUUUGUCCAUGCCUAGAAGAUCUAGAAUUACUUGACUGUGGUAGUUUACCAACAGUUCUACAUCUCCCUCCAUCCUUAGAGACCAUCUUUAUUGCUAGCUACGUUAGUAUUCAAGUCCUGACAUGUCAGCUAGAUCAGCUCCAGAAACCACAAGUCGUUGCUUCCAUAAAUGUACCAGAGCCAGCAGCAGCAACAGCAAGCAAGCACUCACUUCCUCCUCGUCUCCAAUCUCUAAAAAUAUACUCCUGUACUAACAUGUUGGGGGGGAUUCGCCCAUGUCCCUCAAGGAACUGUGCAUUUGUAGUAACAUGGGGUUGA